RNAcentral lists this ribosomal RNA (405 nucleotides) under uncultured Bdellovibrio sp. Its description in RNAcentral is "bacterial SSU rRNA". It matches the Rfam family "Bacterial small subunit ribosomal RNA", at positions 356 to 777 of the family's 1533-position model. The record is from RNAcentral. Lineage: Bacteria; Pseudomonadati; Bdellovibrionota; Bdellovibrionia; Bdellovibrionales; Pseudobdellovibrionaceae.
AGGGAAUAUUGCGCAAUGGGGGAAACCCUGACGCAGCGACGCCGCGUGAGCGAUGAAGGCCUUCGGGUCGUAAAGCUCUGUCGUAUGGGAAUAAUUUUGAAUGUACCAUAUAAGAAAGGAUCGGCUAACUUCGUGCCAGCAGCCGCGGUAAGACGAGGGAUCCUAGCGUUGUUCGGAAUCAUUGGGCGUAAAGCGGGUGUAGGUUGCUUUUUAAGUCAGUUGUGAAAGCCUAGGGCUCAACCCUAGAAGUGCAUCUGAUACUAUUAAGCUUGAGUGUGGGAGAGGCUAUUAGAAUUCCUGGUGUAGUGGUGAAAUACGUAGAUAUCAGGAGGAAUACCGGUUGCGAAGGCGGAUAGCUGGCCCAACACUGACACUAAGACCCGAAAGCGUGGGGAUCAAACAGGA